UCCUACGGGAGGCAGCAGUGGGGAAUAUUGGACAAUGGGCGGAAGCCUGAUCCAGCCAUGCCGCGUGUGUGAAGAAGGCCUUUUGGUUGUAAAGCACUUUAAGCGAGGAGGAGGCUACCUAGAUUAAUACUCUAGGAUAGUGGACGUUACUCGCAGAAUAAGCACCGGCUAACUCUGUGCCAGCAGCCGCGGUAAUACAGAGGGUGCGAGCGUUAAUCGGAUUUACUGGGCGUAAAGCGUGCGUAGGCGGCUGAUUAAGUCGGAUGUGAAAUCCCUGAGCUUAACUUAGGAAUUGCAUUCGAUACUGGUCAGCUAGAGUAUGGGAGAGGAUGGUAGAAUUCCAGGUGUAGCGGUGAAAUGCGUAGAGAUCUGGAGGAAUACCGAUGGCGAAGGCAGCCAUCUGGCCUAAUACUGACGCUGAGGUACGAAAGCAUGGGGAGCAAACAGGAUUAGAUACCCUGGUAGUCCNUGCC
Molecule: ribosomal RNA, 473 nt
Filed under: uncultured marine bacterium
Lineage: Bacteria
Description: bacterial SSU rRNA
Rfam family: Bacterial small subunit ribosomal RNA
Source: RNAcentral